This 354-nucleotide long non-coding RNA is filed under the name Gossypium raimondii (Peruvian cotton). RNAcentral's name for it is "long non-coding RNA (GRAI_LNC006007)". The record is from RNAcentral. Lineage: Eukaryota; Viridiplantae; Streptophyta; Magnoliopsida; Malvales; Malvaceae.
UUGGAAGAGUCCUAUUUCAAUGAUUGUCAGUUGCUGGAGAUAUUGCAUUGAUAAUUCAUUAUUCCAUGUUACAUGGAGCUUAUGUAAAGCUUAAUUGAUCCUAGAGUUUAUAUAUAGAUGAUUUGCUUCAAGGGUGAUGUGUGGAUUUAAAGGAGCACGUAUGUUUAUAGUGAGGAACGGAACUAUUAUCGAGUGCCAUUGCUAUAACCUCCGAGUGUUAAUUUUCACUUACAGUAGGUAGAUCUGAUAGAUAGUUUACUAAAUUGUACAAGAGUGAGAUUGCAACAAGUGUUCGAGGGAUUGGGCCUAUUUUUUUUUUUUUGGUAUUCUGAAGUUUAUAGUGGAUUUAUCUCU